Molecule: ribosomal RNA, 404 nt
Filed under: uncultured bacterium
Lineage: Bacteria
Also listed under: 1 other name
Description: bacterial SSU rRNA
Rfam family: Bacterial small subunit ribosomal RNA
Source: RNAcentral
UGGGGAAUAUUGGACAAUGGGCGCAAGCCUGAUCCAGCAAUGCCGCGUGGGUGAAGAAGGUCUUCGGAUUGUAAAGCCCUUUCGACGGGGACGAUGAUGACGGUACCCGUAGAAGAAGCCCCGGCUAACUUCGUGCCAGCAGCCGCGGUAAUACGAAGGGGGCUAGCGUUGCUCGGAAUUACUGGGCGUAAAGGGCGCGUAGGCGGCCCUGCAAGUCAGGCGUGAAAUUCCCGGGCUCAACCUGGGGGCUGCGCUUGAGACUGCGGGGCUAGAGGCCGAGAGAGGGUGGUGGAAUUCCCAGUGUAGAGGUGAAAUUCGUAGAUAUUGGGAAGAACACCGGUGGCGAAGGCGGCCACCUGGCUCGGUACUGACGCUGAGGCGCGACAGCGUGGGGAGCAAACAGG